AACUAACGCUGGCGGCGUGCCUAACACAUGCAAGUCGUACGAGAAAGUUGGCUUCGGCCGAUGAGUAAAGUGGCGCACGGGUGAGUAAUGCGUGGAUAAUCUGCCCUUUAGUUGGGAAUAACGUACCGAAAGGUGCGCUAAUACCUGAUAAUACUGCAUAACUACUGUUGUGUAGUCAAAGAAGGCCUCUGUUUACAAGCUUUUGCUGAAGGAUGAGUCCGCGUACCAUUAGCUGGUUGGUGGGGUAAUGGCCUACCAAGGCUUAUGACGGGUAGCUGGCCUGAGAGGGUGGUCAGCCACACGGGGACUGAGACACUGCCCCGACUCCUACGGGAGGCUGCAGUCGAGGAUAUUUAGCAAUGGGGGAAACCCUGACUAUGUGACGCCGCGUGAGGGAUGAAGGUUUUCGGAUCGUAAACCUCUUUCGAUGGGGAAGAAGUCCUGCAUACUAAUAUUAUGUAGGGUUGACGGUACCUAGAGAAGAAGCCACGGCCAACUCCGUGCC
RNAcentral lists this ribosomal RNA (505 nucleotides) under uncultured bacterium. Its description in RNAcentral is "bacterial SSU rRNA". It matches the Rfam family "Bacterial small subunit ribosomal RNA", at positions 29 to 509 of the family's 1533-position model. The record is from RNAcentral.